UAAACGCAGCAAUUUUCUCGAUAGUUCAGAAGCAAUUCAAACGCAACCAUCUUGCAACUCUGUUAGGGUUAUAAAGAAAGAGAAGUAGCUAAAAGAAAAUAUCGAUAAGGAAUCAAAACUUUGUUAUGACCGAAGGGAAUAAAAAUUACAAAGAAGACAUAGGGUAUACGACCGAGUUGUGUGACUACUUGCUUCGUACACUCGGCAUAUGGCCAUUUUCGAAGAAGAAAAAGGAAUGUACGGAAAGUCUGCUAAAGCUUCUCGUCAUUUUAUUUAGCUAUUCUCUAUUGGGUUUCUUCGUUGUACCAGCUGUACUUCAUCUGAUCUUGAUCGAAAAAGAUUCUGGCUCGAAGCUGAAAAAAUUACCGCUCAUCUUUUACAACGUCAUUUCGAUCGCGAAAUAUAGCGGAUUGCUCUUGCAGGAAAAUCAAAUCGCUAGUUGCCUGAGACACGUCGAGGAGGACUGGAAAAGUGUUAGAAUCGAAAGUUAUCGUGUGAUAAUGAAGAAAAAAGCAAAACUCGGAAGACGAUUGCUUCUCAUUUGCGGUAUUCUCAUGUAUAGCAGCGGUGGUUUCAAUCGAGUUUUUCUACCCCUUUCUAGGGGCAAGAUAGUAACCCUUCAAAAUAUUACGAUCAGACCUCUUCCCUGUUCAGGAUACUAUGUCUUCUUCGACGAUCAAAUCAGUCCUAAUUAUGAGAUCGUCUUUUGCCUGCAGUGCGUCUCCGGAUUGGUAACUUAUUCAAUUACCACAGCGAUCUGUGGUUUAGCGGCACUUUUCGUCAUGCAUGCUUGCGGACAACUCGAAAUUCUCGUGAAAUUAAUCAAAGGUAUCGUUAAAAAGACAGAUAACGGAGAAGAUCAAACGAAUAAACUGAUUUCUAUAACGGUCGAGCAUCAAAUUAAAGUACGAAGUUUUUUGCAAACGGUAGAAGUUACGAUGCAACAGAUAUGUUUGUUCGAGCUCAUGGGUUGCACCUUGACCAUGUGUUUCUUUGGAUAUUGUUUAAUUACGGUACUCGUGUUAAUAUUUUUUACUUUUCUUUCCUAUCUAACACGAAUUAUCUCUAACACGAUUUUAAUAAUUCUAAAGGAAUGGGGCAACCAUAACCCGACUAGUAUUUGUACAUACUUCGUCGGGCUUUUAUCUAUAACAUCUCAUAUUUUCAUGUUCUGUUUUGUCGGUGAACAGCUUACUUUACAGGUAGAUAUUUUACUAUCUCUCAUCUACGCAGAAAAGGUGGCUGUAACAUCUUGCAUACUUGAUUGGUAUCGUUUGCCAAAUAACAAGGCCAAGAGCGUCAUUUUAAUAAUGGCUAUAUCUCAUUGUCCCAUGAGAAUUACAGCAGGAAACGUAAUAGAACUAUCUCUUCAAACUUUUGGUCAGGUUAUCAAAACAGCAGCAGCAUAUUGCAAUAUAUUACGAACAGUAACUUAAUCAUUACUUUUUCAAGUAGUAAAAAUUAUAAAAUGUAUCUAAAAAAAAAAAAAACGCGAUACACAUUACAAAAACUAAAGGAAUAUAUCGAUUUUAAUAGUACUAAUAAAAGUGAUUCGUAAAAAAUGUAGACAGGGAUUUUAUAAAGUUUUCUGAAGUAUAUAUGCAAUGAAAGGGUUGCGCUUCUUUAUAGAAAACUCUAUCUACAAUACUUUUCUCGUUCAAUAUUUAUCGCACUGUUGUAAUCGAUGUUAUGUAAACUUUUACAAAUUCCCUAUCUCUUUUAUACUACGUGUAAUUUAUCUGUGGUUUUAUCUGGGCGGCCUAUGAUUGAUAUGUAUUCAUAAAAGUCCUAAACUUUUUAUAUUUACCAUGUACGAAUAAAAUUCUCUUCGUUAAUUGAAAAUAAAUUAUUAAUAUAAAAAUGAAACAGUAUCUAUGAAAUAGUUCAUAAAUAAUUCUGAAUGUAGCUAUCGAAUUUAAUCGAUGAAUUACAAUGUCUACGAAAUAGUAAGGCAUUAAUUCAGUGUCUCUACAAUAAUUAAUCAAUGACUUACCGACUUACCAACCUUAUCGACAUUGCUUACUCAUCGAAAUAACCAGCUAAGCGCAAUCAUCAACUCAAUGAAAUUACCAGUUACCGGUAUUAUCGACUUUUUUGCCUUAGAGUUUACUGAUCAUUUAUCUACAGAUAUAUUAUUAAUGAUUUUUAUUAUAAAGAAUAAUAAUUUUAUUAACAUCACGUUCUUCUGAAUUACAUUUGAAGAAUUUCAUUUCAAUGUUUAGAGAAUUAAUUUCUGUGACAGGAGAAUAUGAUGUCAAAAGAAGUGGUAGGAUUUUUCAGAUAAGGUUUUCGGAUAAUUUGCACGAGCAAGGAGUGUACAAAAUAUUAAUCAUGUGUUUAUUAUAGCUAAUCAAUGUUUAUUUUAAUCUUUAUAUAUAUAUAUAUAUAUAUAUAUGUCUGUGUGUGUGUGUGUGUGUGAUAAUUCGAGUUGUUUUUUUGUAUCAUAAUUUUUGUAUUACAUUAUGCCAAUAUUUUUCAUUAUACAAUUUCAAACAAUUCGAUGAUUCGAUGUCUUUCUGAUCUACAUUUAUUUCUUACGACAAUAUGUAUUAAUUUGU
This is an unclassified non-coding RNA of Vespa mandarinia (Asian giant hornet), 2558 nucleotides long. The record is from RefSeq and is a predicted model, not a curated record. NCBI's taxonomy places the organism in Eukaryota, Metazoa, Arthropoda, Insecta, Hymenoptera, Vespidae.